This 490-nucleotide ribosomal RNA is filed under the name uncultured bacterium. Its description in RNAcentral is "partial 16S ribosomal RNA". It matches the Rfam family "Bacterial small subunit ribosomal RNA", at positions 30 to 507 of the family's 1533-position model. The record is from RNAcentral.
AUUGAACGCUGGCGGCAGGCCUAACACAUGCAAGUCGAACGGUAACAGGAAGAAGCUUGCUUCUUUGCUGACGAGUGGCGGACGGGUGAGUAAUGUCUGGGAAACUGCCUGAUGGAGGGGGAUAACUACUGGAAACGGUAGCUAAUACCGCAUAACGUCGCAAGACCAAAGAGGGGGACCUUCGGGCCUCUUGCCGUCGGAUGUGCCCAGAUGGGAUUAGCUAGUAGGUGGGGUAACGGCUCCCCUAGGCGACGAUCCCUAGCUGGUCUGAGAGGAUGACCAGCCACACUGGAACUGAGACACGGUCCAGACUCCUACGGGAGGCAGCAGUGGGGAAUAUUGCACAAUGGGCGCAAGCCUGAUGCAGCCAUGCCGCGUGUAUGAAGAAGGCCUUCGGGUUGUAAAGUACUUUCAGCGGGGAGGAAGGGAGUAAAGUUAAUACCUUUGCUCAUUGACGUUACCCGCAGAAGAAGCACCGGCUAACUCCGUG